AGUGAACGCUGGCGGUAGGCCUAACACAUGCAAGUCGAACGGCAGCACAGUAAGAGCUUGCUCUUACGGGUGGCGAGUGGCGGACGGGUGAGGAAUACAUCGGAAUCUACUUUUUCGUGGGGGAUAACGUAGGGAAACUUACGCUAAUACCGCAUACGACCUACGGGUGAAAGCAGGGGAUCUUCGGACCUUGCGCGAUUGAAUGAGCCGAUGUCGGAUUAGCUAGUUGGCGGGGUAAAGGCCCACCAAGGCGACGAUCGGUAGCUGGUCUGAGAGGAUGAUCAGCCACACUGGAACUGAGACACGGUCCAGACUCCUACGGGAGGCAGCAGUGGGGAAUAUUGGACGAUGGGCGCAAGCCUGAUCCAGCCAUACCGCGUGGGUGAAGAAGGCCUUCGGGUUGUAAAGCCCUUUUGUUGGGAAAGAAAAGCAGCAGGUUAAUACCCCGCUGUUCUGACGGUACCCAAAGAAUAAGCACCGGCUAACUUCGUG
Molecule: ribosomal RNA, 492 nt
Filed under: uncultured bacterium
Lineage: Bacteria
Description: partial 16S ribosomal RNA
Rfam family: Bacterial small subunit ribosomal RNA
Source: RNAcentral